GGAGGGGGGGCAAGCGUUGUUCGGAAUUACUGGGCGUAAAGGGCGCGUAGGCGGAAAUUCCAGUCAGAGGGUGAAAUCCCUGGGGCUCAACCCGGGAACUGCCUUUGAAACUGAAUUUCUAGAGUCCCGGAAGAGGAUGACGGAAUUCCAAGUGUAGAGGUGAAAUUCGUAGAUAUUUGGAAGAACACCAGUGGCGAAGGCGGUCAUCUGGUCCGGUACUGACGCUGAGGCGCGAAAGCGUGGGGAGCAAACAGGAUUAGAUACCCUGGUAGUCCACGCCGUAAACGAUGUGUGCUAGCCGUUGGGGCACUUAGUGUCGCAGUGGCGCAGCUAACGCGAUAAGCACACCGCCUGGGGAGUACAGUCGCAAGAUUA
Molecule: ribosomal RNA, 375 nt
Filed under: uncultured organism
Description: partial 16S ribosomal RNA
Rfam family: Bacterial small subunit ribosomal RNA
Source: RNAcentral